This 407-nucleotide ribosomal RNA is filed under the name uncultured bacterium. Its description in RNAcentral is "bacterial SSU rRNA". It matches the Rfam family "Bacterial small subunit ribosomal RNA", at positions 29 to 421 of the family's 1533-position model. The record is from RNAcentral.
AACGAACGCUGGCGGCGUGCCUAACACAUGCAAGUCGCGCGAGAAAGCGGGGGCAACUCCGUGAGUAAAGCGGCGCACGGGUGAGUAAUACGUAGGUAACCUACCUCCGAGACCGGGAUAACCCUCCGAAAGGAAGGCUAAUACCGGAUGAGACCACGGAGCCUCGGCUCUGCGGUCAAAGGUGGCCUCUAUUUAUAAGCUACCACUCGAAGAUGGGCCUGCGCACCAUUAGCUAGNGGCGAGGUAACGGCUCACCAAGGCGAAGAUGGUUAGCUGAUCUGAGAGGAUGAUCAGCCACACUGGGACUGAGACACGGCCCAGACUCCUACGGGAGGCAGCAGUGGGGAAUCUUGGACAAUGGGGAAACCCUGAUCCAGCGACGCCGCGUGGGUGAUGAAGGCCUUCGG